GACGGAGGGUGCAAGCGUUGUCCGGAAUUACUGGGCGUAAAGCGCGCGUAGGCGGCUUGGCAAGUCGGGUGUGAAAGCCCUGGGCUCAACCCAGGAAGUGCACUCGAAACUGCCUCGCUGGAGUGUGGGAGAGGAAAGCGGAAUUCUCGGUGUAGCGGUGAAAUUCGUAGAUAUCGGGAGGAACACCGGUGGCGAAGGCGGCUCUCUGGACAGUUACUGACGCUGAGGCGCGAAAGCGUGGGGAGCAAACAGG
Molecule: ribosomal RNA, 253 nt
Filed under: uncultured bacterium
Lineage: Bacteria
Description: partial 16S ribosomal RNA
Rfam family: Bacterial small subunit ribosomal RNA
Source: RNAcentral